Molecule: long non-coding RNA, 1148 nt
Organism: Lactuca sativa (garden lettuce)
Lineage: Eukaryota; Viridiplantae; Streptophyta; Magnoliopsida; Asterales; Asteraceae
Source: RefSeq, a predicted model, not a curated record
UUAAAAACAGCUCGUCUUUUCUUUCCAGCGGGAACAUGCUUUCCCCAAAAAUUACAAAACCCCGUUGCACUUGGUUUCCCUCCUAUCCUAUCGAAAAUUCCCACCCACGACCUAAGUUCCUAAUCUCCAUGGCCGGCGUCGCUAUUAAUACUAUCUAUAGCCUCCAAAUCGUCGUCGUUCAGCCACGGCAACUCGCCACCGCUGCCUACGUCCAUUGCUUCUCGUCGUGUUCUACCCGGUCAUCAUCGAUUUAGGUCAAACCCCUGGUAAAAAAUAAGGACUUUUGAUUUAUAGUACCAGGUUGCUGCUUGCGUUGGUUUCUUCUUUGCACUUCCACAUUCCACAAUUUUUUGAGUGAACAGAGAAUAAGUAUACUUAUUUUACCAAGCAAGAUCCCAACAAAUAUCAUCCUUGUAUGCAUGAAUCCACAUGGUUAUGUUCACUUAAUCGAAUUUUUUAGAUUCGGGUAAUUUCUUCACCAAAAUUUUGGUCCCUUGAUCAUCUGUGAAGUUAUCAAGAACGAUGGAUUGAAGAUGUAGGUGGUUUUGUUCUGGUUCUUGGUUGUUUAUGUUGCUAAAAUGGUGGAGUAGCUGAGCAUGUGAUGGUUCAGAACAUAUGCAAACAAGAAGGUGGUCAAUGGUGGUGUUUGGUGGUUGUAGCAAAAAUGAAUGGAGCAGAUAGUGGUAUUUGGCUGUUUGUGUAUGUAGCAAACAUACAGAUUGGAUUGGAUUACAGCUCUAUUGAUCUCUCAAGCACCACAACAGAUUUAUGCAGUGAGUUCUGUAAAAGGCUUAAAGGGUUUCUUGCAACAUGGCAUCCUUCAAGUCCCUAACCUCAUAUCAAUGAACUUCUCAGAUCAAAGGGUUUCUUUUACUGGACAAGGUGACACAGUCCAUGAAGUAGUUAUCUGGAGGCCAAAAAAUUGUAGUAGCUGAGUUGUGUAAUAGUUACCGGUUGGUUGCCCUUCAUGAAGCUUUUUGGUGUUGUAAAUAGCAACAUAUUUUUUAGUUUGACCAAAUUUUUUAUUUUGUUUUAUAGAUGAUGUUUAUUCUAAUAUUUAUUUUUGGAAAAUGAUGUGUUUGUAAUGUGUUAGGCACUUAGUAAUGUAUUUUACAUUUUGUAGUUUAAUGUAAUGAAUUUUUGUUUCA